RNAcentral lists this ribosomal RNA (503 nucleotides) under uncultured bacterium. RNAcentral's name for it is "partial 16S ribosomal RNA". It matches the Rfam family "Bacterial small subunit ribosomal RNA", at positions 30 to 523 of the family's 1533-position model. The record is from RNAcentral.
AUUGAACGCUGGCGGCAGGCUUAACACAUGCAAGUCGAGCGGGGUGAUGGUGCUUGCACUAUCACUUAGCGGCGGACGGGUGAGUAAUGCUUAGGAAUCUGCCUAUUAGUGGGGGACAACAUCUCGAAAGGGAUGCUAAUACCGCAUACGUCCUACGGGAGAAAGCAGGGGAUCACUUGUGACCUUGCGCUAACAGAUGAGCCUAAGUCGGAUUAGCUAGUUGGUGGGGUAAAGGCAUACCAAGGCGACGAUCUGUAGCGGGUCUGAGAGGAUGAUCCGCCACACUGGGACUGAGACACGGCCCAGACUCCUACGGGAGGCAGCAGUGGGGAAUAUUGGACAAUGGGGGGAACCCUGAUCCAGCCAUGCCGCGUGUGUGAAGAAGGCCUUAUGGUUGUAAAGCACUUUAAGCGAGGAGGAGGCUCUUUUGGUUAAUACCCAAGAUGAGUGGACGUUACUCGCAGAAUAAGCACCGGCUAACUCUGUGCCAGCAGCCGCCGUAA